UACGGAGGAUGCAAGCGUUACUCGGAAUCACUGGGCGUAAAGAGCAUGUAGGCUGGUUUGCAAGUCAGAUGUGAAAUCUCACAGCUUAACUGUGAAACUGCAUUUGAAACUGCUUACCUCGAGUAUGGAAGAGGCAGAUGGAAUUAAUGGUGUAGGGGUAAAAUCCGUAGAGAUCAUUAGGAAUACCGAAAGCGAAAGCGAUCUGCUGGGACAUUACUGACGCUGAGAUGCGAAAGCGUGGGGAGCAAACAGG
RNAcentral lists this ribosomal RNA (253 nucleotides) under uncultured bacterium. Its description in RNAcentral is "partial 16S ribosomal RNA". It matches the Rfam family "Bacterial small subunit ribosomal RNA", at positions 524 to 776 of the family's 1533-position model. The record is from RNAcentral.